UCGUUUGCAUUGCUGAGUGUUGUGGAGGAGGAGGAAACUGUGACUCCAAACCAAUCAGGAAACAAGUGAAGAUGAGUAAAGUGUGGAAAAUUAGAAGAAUGGUUCUACUUUCAACAUCUAAAUCAUAAGUGAACUUUGACUGUUUCUGUUUGUUUAUUUUGUGCUUUGCUGUGAACUCUUUUCCUUCGUUUAUCUUUUGCCAUUUUUGUGUUCGAAAUACUAAUGGGGUUUUGUGAGGAUUCUCAAGCCUCAUCCUUAUCUC
Camelina sativa (false flax) is the source of this 262-nucleotide non-coding RNA. NCBI's taxonomy places the organism in Eukaryota, Viridiplantae, Streptophyta, Magnoliopsida, Brassicales, Brassicaceae. The record is from RefSeq and is a predicted model, not a curated record.